UACGGGGGGAGCAAGCGUUGUUCGGAUUUACUGGGCGUAAAGGGCGCGUAGGCGGCCUGUGCAAGUCAGUUGUGAAAUCUCCGGGCUUAACUCGGAACGGUCAACUGAUACUGCUCGGCUAGAGUGCGGAAGGGGCAACUGGAAUUCUUGGUGUAGCGGUGAAAUGCGUAGAUAUCAAGAGGAACACCUGCGGCGAAGGCGGGUUGCUGGGCCGACACUGACGCUGAGGAGCGAAAGCAUGGGUAGCGAACAGG
RNAcentral lists this ribosomal RNA (254 nucleotides) under uncultured bacterium. RNAcentral describes it as "partial 16S ribosomal RNA". It matches the Rfam family "Bacterial small subunit ribosomal RNA", at positions 524 to 776 of the family's 1533-position model. The record is from RNAcentral.